CUACGGGGCGCAGCAGUGGGGAAUAUUGCACAAUGGGCGCAAGCCUGAUGCAGCCAUGCCGCGUGUAUGAAGAAGGCCUUCGGGUUGUAAAGUACUUUCAGCGGGGAGGAAGGGAGUAAAGUUAAUACCUUUGCUCAUUGACGUUACCCGCAGAAGAAGCACCGGCUAACUCCGUGCCAGCAGCCGCGGUAAUACGGAGGGUGCAAGCGUUAAUCGGAAUUACUGGGCGUAAAGCGCACGCAGGCGGGUUGUUACGUCAGAUGUGAAAUCCCCGGGCUCAACCUGGGAACUGCAUCUGAUACUGGCAAGCUUGAGUCUCGUAGAGGGGGGUAGAAUUCCAGGUGUAGCGGUGAAAUGCGUAGAGAUCUGGAGGAAUACCGGUGGCGAAGGCGGCCCCCUGGACGAAGACUGACGCUCAGGUGCGAAAGCGUGGGGAGCAAACAGGAUUAGAUACCCCCGUAGUC
This 464-nucleotide ribosomal RNA is filed under the name uncultured bacterium. RNAcentral's name for it is "partial 16S ribosomal RNA". It matches the Rfam family "Bacterial small subunit ribosomal RNA", at positions 339 to 795 of the family's 1533-position model. The record is from RNAcentral.